GCCCUUGUAAUUAUCAAAGGUGCAACCUGCCCAAUGAUUUUUAAUUAAGUAAGAAUAACAAUCUUAUAAUAAAAUUUAAAGGACGCAGUAUCUUGACUGUGGUAAUGUAGCAUAAUCACUCGCCAUUUAAUUAAUGGAUAGUAUGAAUGGUUAAACGAAUGUCACACUGUCUUUAAUAAAAAACCCAUGAAAUUAAAAUAAUAGUUAAGAUGCUAUUUAAAACUGUAAGACGAAAAGACCCUAUAGAGCUUAACUACAUUAUUUCUUAAAAUAAAAAACUAAAAAAUUUUUAAAAAAGAAAGAAAGGUAGUUUAGUUGGGGCGACUAUCUUCUAGAAAAAACGAAGACAAGCAAUGUUAAUGAAAAAACUUAUUGUAUAAUAAAUAAAUUUAACAAUUAUUAAAAUAGGCCAUAAUGACCCAUUAGGAUUUAGUAAUAAACCUAAUGAUUAAUAAAUAAAAGCUACCUUAGGGAUAACAGGAUAAUUUUGUUUUAGAGAUCAUAUCGAAAACAAAGUUUGUCACCUCUAUGUUGAAUUAAGAUAUCCCGAUAGUGCAGAAGCCAUCAAUGGUAGGUCUGUUCGACCUUUAAAAUCUU
RNAcentral lists this ribosomal RNA (597 nucleotides) under Hydrichthys boycei. RNAcentral's name for it is "partial 16S ribosomal RNA". It matches the Rfam family "Bacterial large subunit ribosomal RNA", at positions 1833 to 2597 of the family's 2925-position model. The record is from RNAcentral. Lineage: Eukaryota; Metazoa; Cnidaria; Hydrozoa; Anthoathecata; Hydrichthyidae.